Molecule: ribosomal RNA, 322 nt
Filed under: uncultured eukaryote
Lineage: Eukaryota
Description: partial 18S ribosomal RNA
Rfam family: Eukaryotic small subunit ribosomal RNA
Source: RNAcentral
CCCUUAGAUGUUCUGGGCCGCACGCGCGCUACACUGAGUGGAUCAGCGGGUCAGGUUGCGCGAAAGCGUUUCCUAAUCUUUAAAUCCGCUCGUGAUGGGGAUUGACGGUUGCAAUUUUCUGUCAUGAACGAGGAAUACCUUGUAAGCGCGGGUCAUCAUCCCGCGCUGAAUACGUCCCUGCCCUUUGUACACACCGCCCGUCGCUCCUACCGAUUGAGUGGUCCGGUGAGGCUUUGGGAUCUGAGCGGAAAGAGCGUUUCGCUGUUUCUGCUCGGAAAACUCAGUCGAACCUUAUCAUUUAGAGGAAGGAGGAGUCGUAACA